CCCAGGGAGAGCCCUUGCUGCCUCAGGCAGUGACCCUGCAUUCCAGGUUGUCCUGCUCAAUCCGUUGGGAUUCCUAAGGUGGUUUAUUUCAAUGUCAGGAGCCUCCAUGACACGAGGGCAGUGAUCAUCCCCCUGGGCCGGGCACGGUGAGGUCAGACCUCAAAUCUUGGGGUCAGUUUUGGGCCCCACACGACAAUAAAGACAUUGAGGUGCUGGAGUA
This is a long non-coding RNA of Pipra filicauda (Wire-tailed manakin), 220 nucleotides long. RefSeq lists it as uncharacterized. The record is from RefSeq and is a predicted model, not a curated record. The transcript is spliced from 2 exons. Lineage: Eukaryota; Metazoa; Chordata; Aves; Passeriformes; Pipridae.